CAGUAGCCGCGGUAAUACGAAGGGUGCAAGCGUUAAUCGGAAUUACUGGGCGUAAAGCGUGCGUAGGCGGUGAGUUGAGUCUGCUGUGAAAUCCCCGGGCUCAACCUGGGAAUGGCAGUGGAUACUGGCUCGCUAGAGUGUGUCAGAGGAUGGUGGAAUUCCCGGUGUAGCGGUGAAAUGCGUAGAGAUCGGGAGGAACAUCAGUGGCGAAGGCGGCCAUCUGGGACAACACUGACGCUGAGGCACGAAAGCGUGGGGAGCAAACAGGAUUAGAGACCCCUGUAGUCCCUGUCUCUUAUAC
Molecule: ribosomal RNA, 301 nt
Filed under: uncultured bacterium
Lineage: Bacteria
Description: partial 16S ribosomal RNA
Rfam family: Bacterial small subunit ribosomal RNA
Source: RNAcentral